This 439-nucleotide ribosomal RNA is filed under the name uncultured bacterium. RNAcentral describes it as "partial 16S ribosomal RNA". It matches the Rfam family "Bacterial small subunit ribosomal RNA", at positions 339 to 795 of the family's 1533-position model. The record is from RNAcentral.
CUACGGGGCGCACCAGUGAGGAAUAUUGCACAAUGGAGGAAACUCUGAUGCAGCAACGCCGCGUGGAGGAUGACGCAUUUCGGUGUGUAAACUCCUUUUAUAUGUCAAGAAAAUGACGGUAGCAUAUGAAUAAGCUCCGGCUAACUCCGUGCCAGCAGCCGCGGUAAUACGGAGGGAGCAAGCGUUACUCGGAAUCACUGGGCGUAAAGGACGCGUAGGCGGGAUAGAAAGUCAGGUGUGAAAUCCUACAGCUUAACUGUAGAACUGCACUUGAAACUGGUAACCUAGAGUAUGGGAGGGGGAGAUGGAAUUAGUGGUGUAGGGGUAAAAUCCGUAGAUAUCACUAGGAAUACCUAAAGCGAAGGCGAUCUCCUGGAACAUAACUGACGCUAAGGCGUGAAAGCGUGGGGAGCAAACAGGAUUAGAUACCCCAGUAGUC